UUUGAGGUGUAUGGUGCAUUUGAAGCCUUCCACAUGGACUACUUGGUUGCCUCUAGCUGAAUGGUGGUAUAAUUCUUCUUUUCACAGUGCUAUUAAAAUGUCUCCUUUUGAGGCACUUUAUGGAUAUGCUCCACAAUUUUUACUCAUGGGAUCUUUAGGAGAUUUGAAGGUGGGGGCAGUAGUAGAAUUUCUGCAGGAUAGAAAGCAAUUUACUACUUUGUUGAAAGAAAAUCUGCUUCAAGCUCAGAAUAGAAUGAAGCAACAGGCUGACAAGGGAAGGUCUGAAAGAGAAUUUUCUGUUGGAGUUUGGGUUACUCGAGUCUGCAACCCUACAGACAAGCAUCUGUGGCGUUGAGGCAGAAUUUAACACUAUCUGCCAAAUAUUAUGGUCUCUUCGAGAUUGUUGCUAGAAUUGGUUAUGUUGCUUACAAGCUGGACUUACCCUCUUUUUCUGCCAUUCACCUGUUUUUCAUGUUUCUCUCUUAAAGAAGAAACUUGGAGCAGCAAUAACUCCAAUUACAGACUCUCCUACUUGUAUAGACGAUCAGCUCGAAGUUUAUCCUGAGAAACUCUUGCAUACAAGAGUCAUCUUCCGGGGUGACCAGCAAGUGGGACAAGGCCUUAUCAAGUGGAUGCAUUUACCUGAAGAGGAUGCCACUUGGGAAGAUAG
Molecule: unclassified non-coding RNA, 670 nt
Filed under: Hevea brasiliensis (rubber tree)
Lineage: Eukaryota; Viridiplantae; Streptophyta; Magnoliopsida; Malpighiales; Euphorbiaceae
Source: RNAcentral